Molecule: ribosomal RNA, 465 nt
Filed under: uncultured bacterium
Lineage: Bacteria
Description: partial 16S ribosomal RNA
Rfam family: Bacterial small subunit ribosomal RNA
Source: RNAcentral
GACGAACGCUGGCGGCGUGCUUAACACAUGCAAGUCGUACGGUAAGGCCCUUUCGGGGGUACACGAGUGGCGAACGGGUGAGUAACACGUGAGUAACCUGCCCACAACUUUGGGAUAACGCUAGGAAACUGGUGCUAAUACUGGAUAUGUGCUCCUGCUGCAUGGGGGGGGUUGGAAAGCUCCGGCGGUUGUGGAUGGACUCGCGGCCUAUCAGCUUGUUGGUGGGGUAGUGGCCUACCAAGGCGGCGACGGGUAGCCGGCCUGAGAGGGUGACCGGCCACAUUGGGACUGAGGGACGGCCCAGACUCCUACGGGAGGCAGCAGUGGGGAAUAUUGCACAAUGGGCGCAAGCCUGAUGCAGCAACGCCGCGUGCGGGAUGACGGCCUUCGGGUUGUAAACCGCUUUCAGCAGGGACGAAGCUUUUUGUGACGGUACCUGCAGAAGAAGCACCGGCUAACUACGUG